GUGCUCACCUCAGCAGCACGUAUACUAAAAUUGAAACUAUAUAGACAAGAUUAGCAUGGCCCUUGCGCAAGGAUGACAUGCAAAUUCAUGAAGCAUUCCAUAUCUUU
Cebus imitator (Panamanian white-faced capuchin) is the source of this 107-nucleotide small nuclear RNA. The record is from Ensembl. NCBI's taxonomy places the organism in Eukaryota, Metazoa, Chordata, Mammalia, Primates, Cebidae.